RNAcentral lists this ribosomal RNA (1359 nucleotides) under uncultured bacterium. RNAcentral describes it as "bacterial SSU rRNA". It matches the Rfam family "Bacterial small subunit ribosomal RNA", at positions 28 to 1381 of the family's 1533-position model. The record is from RNAcentral.
GAUGAACGCUAGCUACAGGCUUAACACAUGCAAGUCGAGGGGCAGCAUUUUAGUUUGCUUGCAAACUAAAGAUGGCGACCGGCGCACGGGUGAGUAACACGUAUCCAACCUGCCGAUAACUCGGGGAUAGCCUUUCGAAAGAAAGAUUAAUAUCCGAUGGUAUAUUAAAAUCGCAUGGUUUUACUAUUAAAGAAUUUCGGUUAUCGAUGGGGAUGCGUUCCAUUAGUUUGUUGGCGGGGUAACGGCCCACCAAGACUACGAUGGAUAGGGGUUCUGAGAGGAAGGUCCCCCACAUUGGAACUGAGACACGGUCCAAACUCCUACGGGAGGCAGCAGUGAGGAAUAUUGGUCAAUGGACGAGAGUCUGAACCAGCCAACUAGCGUGAAGGAUGACUGCCCUAUGGGUUGUAAACUUCUUUUAUAUGGGAAUAAAGUAUUCCACGUGUGGAAUUUUGUAUGUACCAUAUGAAUAAGGAUCGGCUAACUCCGUGCCAGCAGCCGCGGUAAUACGGAGGAUCCGAGCGUUAUCCGGAUUUAUUGGGUUUAAAGGGAGCGUAGGUGGAUUGUUAAGUCAGUUGUGAAAGUUUGCGGCUCAACCGUAAAAUUGCAGUUGAAACUGGCAGUCUUGAGUACAGUAGAGGUGGGCGGAAUUCGUGGUGUAGCGGUGAAAUGCUUAGAUAUCACGAAGAACUCCGAUUGCGAAGGCAGCUCACUAGACUGCAACUGACACUGAUGCUCGAAAGUGUGGGUAUCAAACAGGAUUAGAUACCCUGGUAGUCCACACAGUAAACGAUGAAUACUCGCUGUUUGCGAUAUACAGUAAGCGGCCAAGCGAAAGCAUUAAGUAUUCCACCUGGGGAGUACGCCGGCAACGGUGAAACUCAAAGGAAUUGACGGGGGCCCGCACAAGCGGAGGAACAUGUGGUUUAAUUCGAUGAUACGCGAGGAACCUUACCCGGGCUUAAAUUGCAUUUGAAUAAUCUGGAAACAGGUUAGCCGCAAGGCAAAUGUGAAGGUGCUGCAUGGUUGUCGUCAGCUCGUGCCGUGAGGUGUCGGCUUAAGUGCCAUAACGAGCGCAACCCUUAUCUUUAGUUACUAACAGGUCAUGCUGAGGACUCUAGAGAGACUGCCGUCGUAAGAUGUGAGGAAGGUGGGGAUGACGUCAAAUCAGCACGGCCCUUACGUCCGGGGCUACACACGUGUUACAAUGGGGGGUACAGAAGGCAGCUACCUGGCGACAGGAUGCUAAUCCCAAAAACCUCUCUCAGUUCGGAUCGAAGUCUGCAACCCGACUUCGUGAAGCUGGAUUCGCUAGUAAUCGCGCAUCAGCCAUGGCGCGGUGAAUACGUUCCCGGGCCU